CCUACGGGAGGCAGCAGUGGGGAAUUUUGGACAAUGGGCGCAAGCCUGAUCCAGCCAUGCCGCGUGUCUGAAGAAGGCCUUCGGGUUGUAAAGGACUUUUGUCAGGGAAGAAAAGGAACGUGUUAAUACCAUGUUCUGAUGACGGUACCUGAAGAAUAAGCACCGGCUAACUACGUGCCAGCAGCCGCGGUAAUACGUAGGGUGCGAGCGUUAAUCGGAAUUACUGGGCGUAAAGCGGGCGCAGACGGUUACUUAAGCGGGAUGUGAAAUCCCCGGGCUCAACCCGGGAACUGCGUUCCGAACUGGGUGGCUAGAGUGUGUCAGAGGGGGGUAGAAUUCCACGUGUAGCAGUGAAAUGCGUAGAGAUGUGGAGGAAUACCGAUGGCGAAGGCAGCCCCCUGGGAUAACACU
The sequence is a ribosomal RNA, 411 nucleotides long. It matches the Rfam family "Bacterial small subunit ribosomal RNA", at positions 338 to 741 of the family's 1533-position model.